This 187-nucleotide ribosomal RNA is filed under the name uncultured bacterium. RNAcentral's name for it is "partial 16S ribosomal RNA". It matches the Rfam family "Bacterial small subunit ribosomal RNA", at positions 1314 to 1500 of the family's 1533-position model. The record is from RNAcentral.
GACUACAUGAAGCUGGAAUCGCUAGUAAUCGCGAAUCAGAAUGUCGCGGUGAAUACGUUCCCGGGUCUUGUACACACCGCCCGUCACACCAUGGGAGUCGGAUAUGCCCGAAGUCAGUGACCCAACCAUAUGGAGGGAGCUGCCGAAGGUGGAGCCGAUAACUGGGGUGAAGUCGUAACAAGGUACC